UGAGCAAUCUGCCCUUCUCUUUGGAAUAAGCGUUGGAAACGACGUCUAAUGCCGAAUACGACCUCCUUUCGCAUGAUCGGAGGUGGAAAGCUCCGGCGGAGAAGGAUGAGCUCGCGGCCUAUCAGCUAGUUGGUGAGGGUAAUGGCCCACAAGGCGACGACGGGUAGCCGGCCUGAGGAGGGUGACCCGGCCACACGUGGGACUGAGACACGGCCCAGACCUCCGUACGGGAGNAG
RNAcentral lists this ribosomal RNA (236 nucleotides) under uncultured bacterium. Its description in RNAcentral is "partial 16S ribosomal RNA". It matches the Rfam family "Bacterial small subunit ribosomal RNA", at positions 118 to 347 of the family's 1533-position model. The record is from RNAcentral.